GGAAGCUUGGUCCAAAAGCAUGUUCCAGCAAAGAUUGGGCUGAAAUUAAUCACAAAAGAAAGCUGCAGGAACCAGUCAACAUAAAUGAAAGGAGCCUGUUCUCAUAAUCCACAAAGGGGACAGAGUACAGAAGAUCCAUUCCUACCUCCUGCUCCAGCCUUCCUGCUCCCUCCAGACAGUGCAUCCCAUGGAGACCCUGGAGCAAAUUUCUGCAUUCAGGAGACUGCUGGUUGCUUGUGUAUAGCCCCAUCAUCACCAAGCAAAGACAGUCACUGCUAACACCAUCUUCCUGAACUGAUGUUUUUGGAGGGCUUUAAUACUAAAAAUUGAUCAUAUUGGAAAGAAGUGUAUGAAAUAAAAUAUUGCCUAUAUGUGAUAAAUAAUAAAUAAAGAGAAC
Molecule: long non-coding RNA, 397 nt
Organism: Gallus gallus (chicken)
Lineage: Eukaryota; Metazoa; Chordata; Aves; Galliformes; Phasianidae
Source: Ensembl